UACGGGGGGGGUAAGCGUUGUUCGGAAUUACUGGGCGUAAAGGGCUCGUAGGCGGCCAACUAAGUCAGACGUGAAAUCCCUCAGCUUAACUGGGGAACUGCGUCUGAUACUGGAUGGCUUGGAUUCGGGAGAGGAAUGCGGAAUUCCAGGUGUAGCGGUGAAAUGCGUAGAUAUCUGGAGGAACACCGGUGGCGAAGGCGGCAUUCUGGACAGUGACUGACGCUGAGACGCGAAAGCGUGGGGAGCAAACAGG
This 253-nucleotide ribosomal RNA is filed under the name uncultured bacterium. RNAcentral describes it as "partial 16S ribosomal RNA". It matches the Rfam family "Bacterial small subunit ribosomal RNA", at positions 524 to 776 of the family's 1533-position model. The record is from RNAcentral.